RNAcentral lists this ribosomal RNA (1161 nucleotides) under Mecynogea lemniscata. RNAcentral's name for it is "SSU rRNA". It matches the Rfam family "Eukaryotic small subunit ribosomal RNA", at positions 622 to 1803 of the family's 1831-position model. The record is from RNAcentral. Lineage: Eukaryota; Metazoa; Arthropoda; Arachnida; Araneae; Araneidae.
AAAAGCUCGUAGUUGGAUCUCAGCUCCGGCCGGACGGUCCGCCUACCGGUGGUUACUGUUCGCUGCCGAGCGUUCAGGGGGCUUUGUCCGCAUGAUCUUCACCGGUUGUCGGUCAGGGCCCCCACGUUUACUUUGAAAAAAUUAGAGUGCUCAAAGCAGGCGCGACGCCUGAAUAAUUGUGCAUGGAAUAAUGGAAUAGGACCUCGGUUCUAUUUUGUUGGUUUUCGGAACACGAGGUAAUGAUUAAGAGGGACAGACGGGGGCAUUCGUAUUGCGACGCUAGAGGUGAAAUUCUUGGACCGUCGCAAGACGAACUACUGCGAAAGCAUUUGCCAAGAAUGUUUCCAUUAAUCAAGAACGAAAGUUAGAGGUUCGAAGGCGAUCAGAUACCGCCCUAGUUCUAACCAUAAACGAUGCCAGCCAGCGAUCCGGCUGUGUUCCUCAAAUGACACGCCGGGCAGCUUCCGGGAAACCAAAGCCUUUGGGUUCCGGGGGAAGUAUGGUUGCAAAGCUGAAACUUAAAGGAAUUGACGGAAGGGCACCACCAGAAAUGGAGCCUGCGGCUUAAUUUGACUCAACACGGGAAAACUUACCCGGCCCGGACACAGGAAGGAUUGACAGAUUAAGAGCUCUUUCUUGAUUCUGUGGGUGGUGGUGCAUGGCCGUUCUUAGUUGGUGGGGCGACUUGUCUGGUUAAUUCCGAUAACGAACGAGACUCUAGCCUACUAAAUAGACGUUCCCAUCCUCUUUCGUGGGACGUUCUUCUUAGAGGGACAAGCGGCGUUUAGCCGCACGAGACAGAGCAAUAACAGGUCUGGGAUGCCCUUAGAUGUCCGGGGCCGCACGCGCGCUACAUUGAAGGAAUCAGCGUGUGCUUUCCCUGUCCGAANGGACNGGGUAACCCGUUGAACCUCCUUCGUGCUGGGGAUUGGAAAAUGUAAUUGAUUCCAUGAACGAGGAAUUCCCAGUAAGCACGAGUCAUCAGCUCGUGUUGAUUACGUCCCUGCCCUUUGUCCACACCGCCCGUCGCUACUACCGAUUGAAUGAUUUAGUGAGGUCUUCGGACUGGCGCUCGGAUUGGCCUUCGCGGUCGAGCCGGUGUGCCGGAAAGAUGACCAAACUUGAUCAUUUAGAGGGAAGUAAAAGUCGUAACAAGGUUUU